RNAcentral lists this long non-coding RNA (437 nucleotides) under Parus major (Great Tit). Its description in RNAcentral is "lncRNA (ENSPMJG00000002150.1)". Lineage: Eukaryota; Metazoa; Chordata; Aves; Passeriformes; Paridae. The record is from RNAcentral.
CGAUUUCUGUGUCGGUGUUUUUUUGGGCCAGUUGGUUUUGGGUUGAUUUCUGUGUUGGUGUUUUUUUGGGCCAGUUGGGUUUGGGUAGAUUUUCAGGUCAAUGGAUUGGGGUUUGGGUGUUUUUUUGGAUCAAAGGGCCAAUUUUAAGUUGAUUUUUGGGUCAGCUGGGUUUGGGUAGAUUUCUGUGUUGGUGUUUUUUUGGGCCAGUUGGUUUUGGGUUGAUUUUCAGAUCAAUGGAUUGGGGUUUGGGUAUGUUUUGGAUCAAUGGGCCGAUUUUAAAGUUGAUUUUGGGUCGAUUUCUGUGUCAGUGAUUUUUUGGGCCAGUUGGGUUUGGGUAGAUUUUCAGAUCAAUGGAUUGGGGCUUGGGUGUUUUUUUGGUACAAUGGGCCGAUUUUAAAGUUGAUUUUUGGGCCAGUUGGUUUUGGGUCGAUUUCUGU